Molecule: long non-coding RNA, 447 nt
Filed under: Medicago truncatula (barrel medic)
Lineage: Eukaryota; Viridiplantae; Streptophyta; Magnoliopsida; Fabales; Fabaceae
Description: long non-coding RNA (MTRU_LNC007853)
Source: RNAcentral
UGAUGCGGUUGCGUAUUUAUUAGUGUCUAAUUAGGGUUUACAACUUCUGCUCACGUGUCAUUAAAUACCAACAACAAUUUCUCCAUUCAAUAAAUCAAGCUCGCUCUUUAUCGUUUAAUCUAUUACGUCUAAGUGUGAGCAUGAGCUUUGAGAAUUGAAGAAAGAAAUGAGAAUUGAAGAAUGAGGGAGGAAAAACACUCACUCUCGUGCAAGGGAUAUAACCAUAUUAAGUAAGAAUUGUGUUGCAACUAUCAUUAUAUUCAGAAUUUCGACUGAUUGUAUAAAAUAAACAACAUAAGAAUUAAAACAAAAGAUCAUAAGCAUAUAAUAAAAAAACAUCUUGCAGUAAUAAGAAAUUGAUCAACAAUUUUGUAGGUUUUUCAGAUUACAACUUUGAUCAUAAAUAGGCAUAUAAAAAACAAAGAAAUAUUAGAUGCAAAAUCCCAC